GAUGAACGCUGGCGGCGUGCCUAAUACAUGCAAGUCGAACGAGUUCUCGUUGAUGAUCGGUGCUUGCACCGAGAUUCAACAUGGAACGAGUGGCGGACGGGUGAGUAACACGUGGGUAACCUGCCCUUAAGUGGGGGAUAACAUUUGGAAACAGAUGCUAAUACCGCAUAGAUCCAAGAACCGCAUGGUUCUUGGCUGAAAGAUGGCGUAAGCUAUCGCUUUUGGAUGGACCCGCGGCGUAUUAGCUAGUUGGUGAGGUAAUGGCUCACCAAGGCGAUGAUACGUAGCCGAACUGAGAGGUUGAUCGGCCACAUUGGGACUGAGACACGGCCCAAACUCCUACGGGAGGCAGCAGUAGGGAAUCUUCCACAAUGGACGCAAGUCUGAUAGAGCAACGCCGCGUGAGUGAAGAAGGCUUUCGGGUCGUAAAACUCUGUUGUUGGAGAAGAAGGUCGGCAGAGUAACUG
This 467-nucleotide ribosomal RNA is filed under the name Lacticaseibacillus paracasei. RNAcentral's name for it is "bacterial SSU rRNA". It matches the Rfam family "Bacterial small subunit ribosomal RNA", at positions 28 to 467 of the family's 1533-position model. Lineage: Bacteria; Bacillati; Bacillota; Bacilli; Lactobacillales; Lactobacillaceae. The record is from RNAcentral.